Mesocricetus auratus (golden hamster) is the source of this 119-nucleotide small nucleolar RNA. NCBI's taxonomy places the organism in Eukaryota, Metazoa, Chordata, Mammalia, Rodentia, Cricetidae. The record is from Ensembl.
ACCACCUGAGUAUGUUUGUGUUAAACGGUGGACAAGGUCUCAAUAGCAGGUGCAAAAAAACCCCUUUGCCACCCAGAGCUCACUAUUCAGUAAGAGUUUUGGAACACAUAAAAAGUAAU